CAUGCUUUCGCUCCUCAGCGUCAGUUACAGCCCAGAGACCUGCCUUCGCCAUCGGUGUUCCUCCUGAUAUCUGCGCAUUCCACCGCUACACCAGGAAUUCCAGUCUCCCCUACUGCACUCUAGUCUGCCCGUACCCACCGCAGAUCCGGGGUUAAGCCCCGGACUUUCACGACAGACGCGACAAACCGCCUACGAGCUCUUUACGCCCAAUAAUUCCGGAUAACGCUCGCACCCUACGUAUUACCGCGGCUGCUGGCACGUAGUUAGCCGGUGCUUCUUCUGCAGGUACCGUCACUUUCGCUUCUUCCCUACUGAAAGAGGUUUACAACCCGAAGGCCGUCAUCCCUCACGCGGCGUCGCUGCAUCAGGCUUUCGCCCAUUGUGCAAUAUUCCCCACUGCUGCCUCCCGUAGGAGUCUGGGCCGUGUCUCAGUCCCAGUGUGGCCGGUCACCCUCUCAGGCCGGCUACCCGUCGUCGCCUUGGUGAGCCAUUACCUCACCAACAAGCUGAUAGGCCGCGAGUCCAUCCAAAACCGAUAAAUCUUUCCAACACCCACCAUGCGGUAGGCGCUCCUAUCCGGUAUUAGACCYAGUUUCCCAGGCUUAUCCCAGAGUUAAGGGCAGGUUACUCACGUGUUACUCACCCGUUCGCCACUAAUCCACCCAGCAAGCUGGGCUUCAUCGUUCGACUUGCAUGUGUUAAGCACGCCGCCAGCGUUCAUCCUGAGCCA
RNAcentral lists this ribosomal RNA (730 nucleotides) under Micrococcus sp. MN 9.1a.3. Its description in RNAcentral is "partial 16S ribosomal RNA". Lineage: Bacteria; Bacillati; Actinomycetota; Actinomycetes; Micrococcales; Micrococcaceae. The record is from RNAcentral.